UGGGGAAUAUUGGACAAUGGGGGCAACCCUGAUCCAGCAAUGCCGCGUGUGUGAAGAAGGUCUUCGGAUUGUAAAGCACUCUCGACGGGGACGAUGAUGACGGUACCCGUAGAAGAAGCCCCGGCUAACUUCGUGCCAGCAGCCGCGGUAAUACGAAGGGGGCUAGCGUUGCUCGGAAUGACUGGGCGUAAAGGGCGUGUAGGCGGUUUACACAGUCAGAUGUGAAAUCCCCGGGCUUAACCUGGGAGCUGCAUUUGAUACGUGUAGACUAGAGUGUGAGAGAGGGUUGUGGAAUUCCCAGUGUAGAGGUGAAAUUCGUAGAUAUUGGGAAGAACACCGGUGGCGAAGGCGGCAACCUGGCUCAUGACUGACGCUGAGGCGCGAAAGCGUGGGGAGCAAACAGGAUUAGAUACCCUGGUAGUCCACGCCUGUAAACGAUGUGUGCUAGAUGUUGGGUAACUUUGUUAUUCAGUGUCGCAGUUAAC
This 485-nucleotide ribosomal RNA is filed under the name uncultured bacterium. RNAcentral describes it as "partial 16S ribosomal RNA". It matches the Rfam family "Bacterial small subunit ribosomal RNA", at positions 355 to 856 of the family's 1533-position model. The record is from RNAcentral.